Molecule: non-coding RNA, 1605 nt
Organism: Physcomitrium patens
Lineage: Eukaryota; Viridiplantae; Streptophyta; Bryopsida; Funariales; Funariaceae
Source: RefSeq, a predicted model, not a curated record
AUUGGUCCAACUUUCGCUAAGAUUUGUUGUCACUGUUCUGACUGAGAGACUUCGUUGCUCACUGUAUAAAGUUGACAGUGCAGCUCAAUGCAACGCAUAGGUCUCUCUGCUUGAAGUGACGUGAAAUGCAACCACUGUUGUGACUUCAUUUGUUUGCAUUACUUCCUGAUGAUUAAUUCAUGUUGGCAGAAAGCAUGGAUCGAAUUGUGUCUCAUAGCUUUGGUUCUGGUAUGCCUUAUGUCAAUAAGCAGUAGGACCAAAACGGUGGGUCUUGUCCGAAUGGCUUCGUUGUACGAGAUGGAAUUUGUUCCAGGUGUUGAAAUAUUGCGAAUGGAGGAUUGGGUUAAUUCCAGGUUAUGGAGCACAAGAAGCAUCUCAGCAGUUGGUUCAGGAGGGUUUUGACAAGCUAGCUUCAUCACGCAAGGUUGCAAUGUCUCCCCAGCAGGUGAAAAUAUAAGUCUUAUUCGUUUAUCUCUUAGAACCUUACUUCGCUCUUCUAUGAAUCGAAAUGUCGAAGAAAACAUUCAUGGGAGAAUUUAUGAAAUUCACGUUACCAAUUUCAUGGGGAAGAGUUAUUCGAACAAGCACCAGUCUAAGUCCAAGUUGCAUAUUGGGUCUCAAUGGAAUGGACUGAAGCAGAUGGAGAUGAGUAAUAGAGACUAGAGCACUAGGAUGGAGUGAAGAUGCAGAAGGAAGUAGCAGACCUAAAGGCGGCUCUAGACCACAUAUUGCAUACAGAUUAGUUUUGUUCAAUCUUCUCUCGGCCUCGGAAACUGUAGGAUACGGCAAGAGGAGCAGGUCUGAUGUUUUCCACACGAUGAAGUUGCUUUCGAGCUCGGACGGCAAUUCGUACAAACUUCGAGAUUAUGAAGGACACAGGAACUGACAACAAAAGGAAAUGCGUGUGUCAGGCUUGAAGGCAGAAGCGGUCGAGUAGCACAGUGAAAGGACUCACCCUUUACGUACGUUAUCGCUUCUUGACAGAAAACACAUCAACACUCUCAAAAAAAGCUUCAUGAUCAGUCCACAAAUCUGCAAUGAUCGGCACGUUAGAGCACGUUGGCCUUCACAGCUUUUCCAGCUUGACUGCAAAGAAAAGGAAGACAUCCAGAGGGAGGCAGUUGCUUGAGUCGAGGCGACUCAACAACUUCAGUCAUGCACACCAUAAGAACACGAAAUAUUCACCAAGAUUAUGCUCCUAUGCUGGUUGAUGUGAACAACUAUAUAAAACAGUGUUUGAGGAGAAUGAAGUGGUUGAAGGAAGCACGAGUGUCUUCCCGACCUACAUGGACAAUGAGUCUCGUUCUUACAACACUCCAAGAUUAUAUGCAAGAUUGACUUGAAUUCACCCAAAUUUUGAUGACUUUGAUGCAACCUUGAGAUUACCAAUGUGCAAGCAAGCUGCGCUAUUGCAGUGGGGUUUUAUGUUUGAUAUGGUUGGACUUGUGGAAAAAAACAACAAAAAAAGAAGAAGAUUCAAACAGCUCUCUAGUCGAUACAACAAAACAACAUGAGUGUCUCAAAUUUCCCAAAGUGGCCAAUUCUUAAAAUAUUUUAUUUGUUUAUUUCAGAUUAUAUUUAAGAACAAUUGCUUUCUCUAUGCAA